This 1782-nucleotide long non-coding RNA is filed under the name Apis dorsata (giant honeybee). Its description in RNAcentral is "uncharacterized LOC116185327, transcript variant X1". Lineage: Eukaryota; Metazoa; Arthropoda; Insecta; Hymenoptera; Apidae. The record is from RNAcentral.
CUAUAUAACAAAAAAUUAAAUAUAAAUGAUACUUUUUAAUCUUAUCUUUAUAGAUCUCGAUGAAAUGGCUUCUUGAUUGAAUUCUCGUUUGCCUGCCUCUCGUUCUUCGGUCAACUCGAUUUGAUCGGCUGUUAUCAGUAAAACAUUAAACGGACAAAGAACAGAACAUGGCUACAGACUAUAGAUCAGAUCGUUCUCGAUGAUCAGGGUACAUGGAGAUUCCUCGGAUAUAUCUGCGUCGCUGAAAAAGGGCGUCAUGCAUGGCUCGCACUAGGGUGUCAUCUGCACCCUCUAUAACAUGAGCAGUUCUGUAGAUGAUCUUCACGGUCAAUAUAACGGAUGUCGUAAAAUCAAUUAGUGGCGAAUUGUGCCGCAGCCCGGAUCGUAUGCAUUGUAUAUGCAGCUCAUAAAAUUUCUUUUUUUUUUUUGUGAUCUUUUUGAAUUACUCUAUGUUCCUCGCAUCGGUUCCAAUCGAUAAUCAUUUCUUAUCAAAGUACAAUUUUAAAAUUUAUCUACAAUAUUAUACUUUGUUAAAUUUCUCAUUUGCAAUAGAAAUAUAAUAUUGGUAUGUUAUAGAUUAUAUUUCUGUAAGUCGCUUUUAUAUCAUUCCGACAAUAGCUUAGUUAAUAUUGACUUUUGAAUGGUCCAAUCUUAGGAAAAGCCUUUUAGCGUGUUUCAGCAUGCAGUAAAUAUUAUUAGGAAACCAUCCCCGCAUAGUAAGACUCCAACGACAUCCUGACAAAUCUUUGGGGUCGUAACCGAUUGAAAGAAUUUUCCGUGACGACUCGUUCAUUGUGCGUGUUUACUAGCUAAGCGAUUUUCUCGUUGUAGAAAGGUCGAAAUAUCUCUCAGAAAUACAAUAGAAAACUUGUAACAAAAAUCAUAGAAGCAAACAUUUUAAAGGGAAAUUUAUGUUAUUCACGGAUAACAACGAUUCAGAUCUCAGUAAAUUGUACAAGUUUUUAUCAUUCCAGAGACGUAUAUCUAUGAAAAAGAGAAAUAGUCCACAUAAAACUUUAACGUCCUUUGUGCGAACGUCACCCGUUACAACGCAACGUUGCUUUGGCUAAGAGCCGGUUAUCUUGAUACUAUUUCACUAAUCUGUGACGGUUAAUCCAAAACAUGGGAGGAAGAAACCGAAGGGAAGACGCACAUAUGAAAUUCAUCCUUCUUCAGCAAAGUUCGAGGAGUGAAAGAAAAGGCUCUCCUUGUGGCUACAACUCACAACUUACAAUUCGGUGGCUACGAAACGGCUACACCCUUUCAUGAACGCGCGGUUCAACCACUCGUGACCCGACCAACUUCGCCCCAAGUGGAGGAAAGGAGGCAAGUGAAUAGAAAAUGAAAGAGAAGCAUUUUGGUGCAGUAUUAUACGGCACAGAGGGAAUUCGAUUAUGGCCAGUAUCCACAAAUUGCCUUCUAGUUAGCGGGAGUAUCUUGUGGUCGAACUAUCGCGAGAUAAUUACACUUCAACCGCUAUAAUGGCAAGUUAGUUAUAGAGCGGUGGAUCUUGGCUCGGGAAUUGCGAGCUGGCUGAUUGAGCAUAUCCACUGAAAAGGAACCGUUUUCUUCUUGCGAAGAACAAACUUUGGUCGAAUGAAUGCUCGAGAAAAUCAGUCAUGUCAAUCAUCAAUGUGAAAUUGAUUAUCUUUUCAUCUUUUAUUUAUUUUUCUUCGAAUUCUUUUCCAAAUUAUCUUAAAAAUUGAAAUGAUUCUGUUCUUUAAUUUAACUCUUGCGACUACGAUGAAGUGAGAUGAAGAUCGAAGAUUAAUGAAACGUUAA